This 433-nucleotide ribosomal RNA is filed under the name uncultured bacterium. RNAcentral's name for it is "partial 16S ribosomal RNA". It matches the Rfam family "Bacterial small subunit ribosomal RNA", at positions 29 to 507 of the family's 1533-position model. The record is from RNAcentral.
AACGAACGCUGGCGGCAUGCCUAACACAUGCAAGUCGAACGAGACCUUCGGGUCUAGUGGCGCACGGGUGCGUAACGCGUGGGAACCUGCCCUUAGGUUCGGAAUAACUCCCCGAAAGGGGUGCUAAUACCGGAUAAUGUCUUCGGACCAAAGAUUUAUCGCCUUUGGAUGGGCCCGCGUUGGAUUAGCUAGUUGGUAGGGUAAAAGCCUACCAAGGCGACGAUCCAUAGCUGGUCUGAGAGGAUGAUCAGCCACACUGGGACUGAGACACGGCCCAGACUCCUACGGGAGGCAGCAGUGUGGAAUAUUGGACAAUGGGCGAAAGCCUGAUCCAGCAACGCCGCGUGAGUGAUGAAGGCCUUAGGGUUGUAAAGCUCUUUUACCCGGGAUGAUAAUGACAGUACCGGGAGAAUAAGCUCCGGCUAACUCCGUG